RNAcentral lists this ribosomal RNA (434 nucleotides) under uncultured Alphaproteobacteria bacterium. RNAcentral describes it as "bacterial SSU rRNA". It matches the Rfam family "Bacterial small subunit ribosomal RNA", at positions 46 to 526 of the family's 1533-position model. Lineage: Bacteria; Pseudomonadati; Pseudomonadota; Alphaproteobacteria. The record is from RNAcentral.
GCUUAACACAUGCAAGUCGAACGCCCUCUUCGGAGGGAGUGGCAGACGGGUGAGUAACACGUGGGAACCUACCUAGGGGUACGGAAUAACUCGGGGAAACUCGUGCUAAUACCGUAUACGACCCAAGGGUGAAAGAUUUAUCGCCCCUAGAUGGGCCCGCGCUGGAUUAGCUAGUUGGUGGGGUAAAAGCCUACCAAGGCGACGAUCCAUAGCUGGUCUGAGAGGAUGAUCAGCCACACUGGGACUGAGACACGGCCCAGACUCCUACGGGAGGCAGCAGUGGGGAAUCUUGGACAAUGGGGGAAACCCUGAUCCAGCCAUGCCGCGUGAGUGAUGAAGGCCUUAGGGUUGUAAAGCUCUUUCGCCAGGGAAGAUAAUGACGGUACCUGGAUAAGAAGCCCCGGCUAACUCCGUGCCAGCAGCCGCGGUAAUAC